GCACAAGCGGUGGAUGAUGUGGUUUAAUUCGAUGCAACGCGAAAACCUUACCCACCUUUGACAUGGCAGGAAUCCCGAAGAGAUUGGGAGUGCUCGAAAGAGAACCUGCACACAGGUGCUGCAUGGCUGUCGUCAGCUCGUGUCGUGAGAUGUUGGGUUAAGUCCCGCAACGAGCGCAACCCUUGCCAUUAGUUGCUACGAAAGGGGCACUCUAAUGGGACUGCCGGUGACAAACCGGAGGAAGGUGGGGAUGACGUCAAGUCCUCAUGGCCCUUAUAGGUGGGGCUACACACGUCAUACAAUGGCCGGUACAGAGGGUAGCCAACCCGCGAGGGGGAGCCAAUCCCACAAAGCUGGUCGUAGUCCGGAUCGCAGUCUGCAACUCGACUGCGUGAAGUCGGAAUCGCUAGUAAUCGCGGAUCAGCAUGUCGCGGUGAAUACGUUCCCGGGUCUU
This 454-nucleotide ribosomal RNA is filed under the name uncultured Allobrachymonas sp. RNAcentral's name for it is "bacterial SSU rRNA". It matches the Rfam family "Bacterial small subunit ribosomal RNA", at positions 923 to 1382 of the family's 1533-position model. The record is from RNAcentral. Lineage: Bacteria; Pseudomonadati; Pseudomonadota; Betaproteobacteria; Burkholderiales; Comamonadaceae.